This 2681-nucleotide long non-coding RNA is filed under the name Lactuca sativa (garden lettuce). RNAcentral's name for it is "long non-coding RNA (LSAT_LNC002155)". Lineage: Eukaryota; Viridiplantae; Streptophyta; Magnoliopsida; Asterales; Asteraceae. The record is from RNAcentral.
CUUGACGACCCAACAUGAGACUUUCCCUUCCAAUUUUGCUUUGGAGGACAUUUCCUCUUCUUCCCCUUCCUUUGACCAAUAGCCAGGACGAGAGCACUAGGAGGAUUGGAUUCAAUACUCUUUCCCUUCAUACAUGCUUAAGCUAUCUACAAGAGGUUGUGCAAUUGAGCCAAUGUGGUCUCAUUGUUUAGAUAUUAGGUCAAGACGAACUCAUCAUAACAACUUGUUAAGGAGUUCAAUACUAUGUCAUGUAGCACCCGUUUCCUGGUACGUAAAUGUUAUUUGAGUAUUUCCUUUCUUUUAGCCUUGGACUCGGCGAGUCAUAGGUCCGACUCGCCGAGUGGAUGCGGGACCCGGGACACGUUUAAGUUGGCGACUCGGCGAGUCCAUAUCCUGGACUCGGCGAGUCACAGCUGUUGGAUGAAACCCUAAGUUUCAGGGGUUUGCACCCUAUUUAAACGACUUAUCCGCCCCAACCUCGCCCCCAUUCACCCUCAGAUCCCUGUAUCUCUCUCUAGCCUUGCUUCAUUGUGAGUUUGAAGUGUUUUGUGGUGUUCUUGAAGUUUCUUUGAAGGAAAAGAAGAGGGAAUCAAGAAGAGGAGAAGGAGGCCAAGCAUCUCUGUGUCAUUCCAACGUUUCCCCUAAGGUAUAGCUCGUUUCCCCUAUGUUUUAAGCUUAUUGUCCCUUAUAGCUCCAUUAGAGUCCUUUUUGAGCCACUUCCAAGAUUGUGUAAGCUUGAGGGUUUGUAAUAAGUCGAUUGGCCUCUGGAUCUAGGCAAGAUUGAGCUCCAGGAGCUCAGAUAUGUUAGCUUUAUGGCCCCAUGUUGCUUGUUCACCCUAGAUCUACCCUUUUGAGACACUUUGAGCCCUAAAAUCCAUAUUGGUGAAUAUCCACACGUAAAGUUGGAAACUUUACGUGUGAUUCGUGUCCUAGAAGUCCAGAUCUGUGAAUGACAUGGACUGGAAUCGAGCAAAUCUGUGUAUUUAGUGGGUGCAUGGCAACGACUCGGCGAGUCGUUCAUAUGACUCGGCGAGUCUGUUCGCGAGUCUCCGAGUUUGUCCCCUUUUCGUAGUGUCGAGUGAGCAGUGAGUCACGGGGUGUGACUCAGUGAGUCGGAAGCUGAACUCAUCUAUGGAGGUACUCGGCGAGUCAAUUCCCUGACUCGGCGAGUUCAAGGCAAUCUCCUUAGAUCAAGAACAGACUCGGNCGUUAGAGGACAUUCAGCUUGAUGACAGCCUGAAUUACAUUGAGCGCCCAAUCGCAAUCCUCGAUAAGAAGUCGAAGGAUUUGAGGAAUAAGAGGGUGGAGCUAGUGAAGGUGCAAUAGCAGCACCGCAAGGGGUCGGAAUGGACUUGGGAGCCGGUGGACGAGAUGAUGGAGCAUUAUCCCGAGCUGUUUCAGGAUCGAGCAGCAGACUUCGAGGACGAAGUCUAAAAUAAGUGGGGGAGAUUUGUAGCACCCGGUUCCUGGUACGUAAAUGUUAUUUGAGUAUUUCCUUUCUUUUAGCCUUGGACUCGGCGAGUCAUAGGUCCGACUCGCCGAGUGGAUGCGGGGCCCGGGACACGUUUAAGUUGGCGACUCGGCGAGUCCAUAUCCUGGACUCGGCGAGUCACAGCUGUUGGAUGAAACCCUAAGUUUCAGGGGUUUGCACCCUAUUUAAACGACUUAUCCGCCCCAACCUCGCCCCCAUUCACCCUCAGAGCCCUGUAUCUCUCUCUAGCCUUGCUUCCUUGUGAGUUUGAAGUGUUUUGUGGUGUUCUUGAAGUUUCUUUGAAGGAAAAGAAGAGGGAAUCAAGAAGAGGAGAAGGAGGCCAAGCAUCUCUGUGUCAUUCCAACGUUUCCCCUAAGGUAUAGCUCGUUUCCCCUAUGUUUUAAGCUUAUUGUCCCUUAUAGCUCCAUUAGAGUCCUUUUUGAGCCACUUCCAAGAUUGUGUAAGCUUGAGGGUUUGUAAUAAGUCGAUUGGCCUCUGGAUCUAGGCAAGAUUGAGCUCCAGGAGCUCAGAUAUGUUAGCUUUAUGGCCCCAUGUUGCUUGUUCACCCUAGAUCUACCCUUUUGAGACACUUUGAGCCCUAAAAUCCAUAUUGGUGAAUAUCCACACGUAAAGUUGGAAACUUUACGUGUGAUUCGUGUCCUAGAAGUCCAGAUCUGUGAAUGGCAUGGACUGGAAUCGAGCAAAUCUGUGUAUUUAGUGGGUGCAUGGCAACGACUCGGCGAGUCGUUCAUAUGACUCGGCGAGUCUGUUCGCGAGUCUCCGAGUUUGUCCCCUUUUCGUAGUGUCGAGUGAGCAGUGAGUCACGGGGUGUGACUCAGUGAGUCGGAAGCUGAACUCAUCUAUGGAGGUACUCGGCGAGUCAAUUCCCUGACUCGGCGAGUUCAAGGCAAUCUCCUUAGAUCAAGAACAGACUCGGCGAGUUGUUCAUACAACUCGGCGAGUCUUAGCAUAAGUGUUCAUCGGAUGAAGAUGAACUCGACGAGUUGUUCAUACAACUCGGCGAGUAGGAUGAAGGACUUGAAUAUCGGUUUAGAAGGUGAACUCGUCGAGUCGUCGCCUAACUCGACGAGUAGGAUCGGGAUUCAGGGCAAUCGUUUGGGUAGGGACUCGGCGAGUUGGAAAGCCAACUCGGCGAGUCGGGUCAACUGAAAGUUGACUCUGACUUUGACUUAGGGCAUGGUCAGGGGUA